UCACCCAGGGGGAGGUUCGUGAUGGAGAAGGACCAGGAGGAAAAGCCUCUCGUACAUUUUGCUCAAGCGAAACUCAGAGCAAACACUGGGAUGGAUGCAGAGGCUGAGCCCUGCCCUUCCCCACCACUUUUUGCUGAUCCCUGCGGUGAAAAAGACAAAUGCUGGGAGAAGAGGGACCGGGGAGAGAGUCUGGGGACAAUGGGCACCAGAUGUGGCCACACACUGUCCCAGUGAACUGGGUGGUGUCAGAAAAACCCCUUUUCUCUGGGGCUGGCAGCUGUGACUCCAGUGGGGUCCCUGUGGUGGACAUUUCUGGCAAGGAUGGGGAACGGGGAGGUGGCAACUUCACAGGGAAGCGUCAUGAGUUCUGAGAAGACCCAGAGGUGGAAAGCAAGCUAGACACUCUUUUUCCAGUGAUCUGGUUUGCAGCUUGGCUCACAAAGAAUUAUAACAGCUCAAAGACAGUGCAAGUGAACUGACAAGAAGAUGGAAAUUAAUAGUAAGGGAGCAUGAACCAUCUUUGCUGCUGCAGAAAAUGCCAUAUGGAACCGUGAUUUUUGCUUAGAUAUAACUAUCACACUUCUGAGAUACUGGUCACAGUGAAGAUUACUGGAUACUCAGCAGGUCAUGAAUCAAAUCCAGAAAAGAAAGACCCACAGGUGGGAAAAGACGAUCAGAGACAGCUGUUGACUUUGGCAUGGUUUUCUUGGAGACAUUUGCACUACACUCAUCUAAGCCCUUCAGCCAACAACAGCUACUUGACUCCAGGUUCUGUACCCAGCUCAGGGGCUGGAGCUGGUGUGGACUGAACAGCAUUGUGAGAUUUGCUCCUGAUUAACCAUUUUCAGGGACAGCUCUUUGGGGACAAUGGGAUAAAAUCAAGCACUUGCUCCAAGCAAGCAAAAUGAAAUGGUCUGUUUAUUUCCCUCAGGCUUGCUGUACCUAAACCUCUGUUUGUUAAAUUUUUCAUUAUUUGGUGGAGUCUCCUCCCUGUUGCAGGAAUGAAAGCCAUCAGCCUUUCCUAGACCACGCAGCUUUGUUCUCCAUGAACACUUGACAGUCUCUCAAUGAAGAACUUUGCCAAGUCCUAUUCCCUGACUCAUCACAUUGCUCUUUUUCAGAUUUCAACACCUUGUAAAAAACAGCUGGUCAGUCACCUUUGAUGUACAAGAGAGCAUUUCAGAGAACACCUCCAUUUAGUGAUCAAAAUCAGGACAACCCGAUACCAUAAUGCAUCGGUUUGAUGCAGGGCUGGAGAGGAAUCAUUUGGCCUCUGCAGAUACUCCAGGAAUGACCAAGAGGCACAAAGUGUUCUCUGGAGCUGAGCAAUAAACAGAGGCUGGUGAAGACAACAGAGUCAGCUGGAAGAUUACAGUGUCUGUGUAACUUAAAUACUGUUGGGUUGAAUACUUUCUUUCUAAGAAAAGUCAUCUCUGUGGGCGUCUUUUCUAUCUCUCCCCAUAUGAGAACAGGAGGUUACUGAAUGAUAAACACUUGAAACCUCAUACACAAUUUAAUGCUGCUUACUUGAAACCCCAGACCUUUUCAAUUGAAUGUGCAAGGUGAGAUCAUCUCUUGCUGUAUGGUGAUUACUAGGGAUAUAAAGCACUUUUCCCAUUAAAGCUCAGUGUUCAGGUGUAUUUAUCUAUUGGCUUCUGACUCCAGAGUUUUGUUUCUCCUUUGAACCACUGGUGCUGUUACUCAGACAAACCAGGACGACAGAAUAUGUUUGCUCUUGGUUUUACUGCCUGAUGAGACCAUCUACAAAAUGCACUUAACAGUGAACUUCAGUGAAGGAAGAGUAACUCUUUAAAUCUUUAGAUCUUUGCUUGUGACUCAGAAACACACUAAUACGAAUUAAAGGACGAGUAGAAAAGAAGAAAAAGAAAAAUCUGCUGUUGCUUUUUUGCAUCUGCACCUUGACAGGGCUUCACAGGCUUCACAGAUGUUUUCUUCUAACAAGUAAGUUAAGAGACCAGGAAACCCAGUCCAUUUUUAAUUUUCCUCUGUAUUCAAAAAGGCAUCACAAAGAUACACAACAUUUAUCUCUACCACUGCUGUGAGGCAAGAGUCCAGCACAGAGCUCACCAAUUGCAACAGUUUGCUUAAAUACUACUUGGCCCAAGCCCUUAAAUACCUAUCUGUAGUCUUUAAACAAAAUCCUCUCAAACCUUUAAACCCACAGCAGGUUAUUCCAUAGCAUUAAAAGCAAAACCCAAGGAUAAAAAAUGCAUUAUAGUGAAGACUUGUUUCCUGGAGUCUGGCAUUCCUUACCUCAUUGCUGUUUGUGCUUCAGGACAGCUGAAGGGCCGUGAUGAGGCACUGGAGCCUUUCUCAAGAACCCCUCAUGAAUUUUCAAAAAGAGCAUGUACUUACAGAUCUGACAUAAGACAGGCAAAACAUAUAGCAAAGUAGGCAUGCAAGGGGUAAGGAAACAUUCCUACUGAAUAAGAGAUUUUCUCCAACUCCCGCACUUAAGGCUGGAGUGUCUGAGUCUCUAAAGUUUCCAAUUUUUUCCUCCAGCACUGCUACUUCACAUGGACCUAUAGCCUUCUCAUUCUUAGUGUUUUCAUGUUUAUCUUUAAGCAGAGGCAGAUAUUUAUAAAGGGAAGAGGAAAUUAAAAAUAAAACAAUCCUGAGGAGGAUUAUGCUUUGUCACAGAGUUUUGAAGCCCAGUGUGAAAGCAUUUUAGCAGCACAUGCUGUGCAUGUAGCUGGGGAUCUAGAGCAGCAACGAUGUUCUCACAUCUAGGACUGAGCCCAAACUACUCCCCGAGUGUAGGGCAAACUUAAAAUUCUCCUAGAGGUGACAAUGACAUGAAAAAAACUGCAUGAAACAACAGGAAAUUUUCAGGAAGGCUCUUAUCUAUUCUGAUCUCUUAGAGACCAUAGGAUUUGCAGACAGCUGAUUAGAGUUGGUUUCAAGUACAUGUGGCAGAGAAACACACUUUGCCUUUGAAUCUGAGUCUUCACCUUUACAUGGUUUACCAGAGAACUGGGGUCAAGAUCAUAAAAGUUUGUUGCAUGGCAACAAUGUAUUUUGCUCAAUUUAGGUUGUUGGAAGGCAGCAGGGUCCAUCACAUUUAUCAAUGAACCAUCACUAGAUCAGCCCUUUUUUAAACCGGUACAUAUUCCAUGAAAAUACGCUGUUAGAACAAAAUAGAAACUUUCUGAAAUGCUAGGUAGAUUUACCAAAAAUCUUGCUUUUCAGAAUGAAACAGAGGGAAGAAAAGGUGUUUUAACACUGUGGAAAAAUCCUGUUCUAGCAAUUGUGGAUGAAAUGUUUUGCUAAUUUUGGUCUGUGUUUAUUUACAUUCUCAUCCCUGUAGUCUUUCUGCCAAAUCUAAUUUAUAGGGAUCAUUUUAAAGUGCCAACCCAUGUUCCCAUUAAGAAACCUGGGAAAACCUAUGUAAUGUGCUGGGGUGUUGCUCAGUGACUGACAACUCUUUGUUUAUUAAAGCAAUUAAUCAAAUAGCUUCAUAAAACAGUACUUUAUGAAGGAAUAAAAGAAAACGAGGAGUAGAAGACAAAUUGGGCACUCAGGUGUAGAUAAACCUUUGUCUCAGAACUGAAACAGUUCACACACCCUGAAUAUGUCAUCGAACUUGUAUUAUAUAAUACGGUCUUCACCAAAGACCUCCAAGCACCCAAACAAAAUAUGUAGACUACAAACACAGACAGUUGCCUAACUAGCCAUGGCUUUCCUUGGAAAGUACUUCCAUUGUCCAUAGCAGGAAUCAGAAGGAAGGAAGACAGAAGUCAUCUACAGCAAUUUACCAGAAGUUGUUCUGAAUCUCAGAUGACACAUCAAGCGGUUUUGACACUCGGGUUGCUGUCUUGAACUCCAGACAGCAUUUUUGCACAUAAAAGAUACAUAACCAUCAUAAAUUCAAUAUAGUUAAGCACUUAAAUAGUGCUCAGAAACCUUUGUUGAAUCAGAAAUAAUAACCUGGAACUAUACAUACAAUAGUCUGCCUAUGCUGGUGUAAUAAAGAAAUGGAUCCUGCCUUAUCGUGUGGAAUUUGGAGUUACCCACCAGUCAGUUAAGCUUAAUUUAUGAUAAGAAACUGAAAUAUAUGACAGAAAAGAUCAGUAAUGCACGGUGAAAUAAUAACUGGUUAGACUUAAUAAAAAUAAUAAUUAAAAAAAAAAAAAAAAGAGAAAACCAUAGUGGUAUUAAACUCGUCAUUUAAAAUACCCAUACCCAGACAACAAAGAAUAUUAGCUUUAAGGAAUGAAAUUAGACAGCCAGAUAAAUACCUGCCUGUCUAAUUCCUUCUUAAACUGUGCCUCCCUCCAGAUCUCAGAACACUCCUUAAAAAUUGCAAAUGGAUAUUCAGAGUACAGAAACGAUAAUUUUACUUUCAGAUGGAUGGCUGUGGGGAGUUAUUUCAAAUCUGUUGUCUCUAACUGUCUUUGGAUCAAACAAGCUGUAGCAAACAGAUUUUGGAGAAUCAGGAUGAGCCAGCACCUAGGAAUUAAUCCUGUGAUACCUGGUGUCCCUGGUAUGGUGGGGUUCUUAGGGACAUGGUUUAGAGGUGGACUUGACAGUGUUGGGUUAACGGUUGGACUCAAUGAUCUUAAAGGUCUUUUCCAACCAAAAUGAUUCUAUGAUUUAUGAUCCUAUGGUAUUUCUGAACGGACUCUCACUGCUGGGUGGCGGCUGGCAGCAGAAGACAAGGCACUAGCCGUUAAGACAGUUCUACAAAUUGAAAAAUUAUGUCUUUUAGUCUGAAAGAAGAUGAUUGGGUGACGGCAAUUGGAGAAUGUGAGAGGGGCGAAGAAAAUCAGGAAAAGAGCAGUCCCUGUGGUACACGAAACCAAGAUUUCCAAGACCAAAAUGACUCCUAUGUUGUUACAUACAUACAAUACAGAAUCAUCCAAUAACUGGCUCUAGACACUGUCCACCCAGUAGCUGGCCUUUGGAUCCUCACAUCUCCAGUUGCUUCAUGCGCAAACACAUACACAUGAAAAGACUUCUCUCUGCAGAUCCCCAGACCUCAUGUUCUCUCCAGUGGCUGUCUUGGACCCCUGUGUCCAUCCAGCAAAAACUCACCGGUCUCGUGUCUCUCCAGUAUCUGGUCCAGACUUAUGGCCACCUCCAUAUCUGUCUGCCAAGCUGCAUGUUCCUUUCACCAGCUAAUCUGGUUUGUGUUCACUUGCGAUCGCACACAGACACACUCACACAACAUGUUCACACUCUGUUCUCUCUAGUUGCUGGCACCACACAGAGGUCCUCCAAUCUGUGGUGUGACUCCAGUGACUCCAAACCCCCAUGCACACAUAUCCAUGCAGAACAGGGAGCACCUCACCCAGGGUGGUGGUUAGAAAUGAAAUUUAAUGAAGAGACAGGACAGUCUGCACUGAUCUGGACCAGGACAUGGCCAGACAAGCAUGGCCAGACCAGCAAACUGUUCAGAAGUGACCUGUCCCUUUAUCCCAUUGUUUUCAAAUGUUUGUUCCUCCCCAAACCAGACAGAUACUGUCCUUUCAACUUCUUUAAUUCCUCCCCUAAACAUCCCAUAAGGAGCCUCUUGUCCUCAUCAACUCAUGGGGUGGGUGUCAUCACCCUGGCCCAUAAGGCUGAAGUUCUCCUGGGGCAACCCUGGUCCAGGAAUGGUUUCUCUGUGUAGUUUAUGGGGGCUGCCACCUCCCAAUGUGUCUCUGUGCUCCUUUGUGUGCAAGGAAAAGGCCAUUAAUCACAUAACCUAAUGAGGUUCCUUUGAAUCGAUAUUAUCUUCACCUGCCUCCAGUUACCUAAGAAGACAGUCCUAACUCUUCAGCUUUGUGAGGUUUUUCAACAUCACAAUUCCUCUGUGUCUCUCUCCCAUUUUAUUGACAGUCAGAGAAACACAUUAAACUCAUUUCAAUUUCACAUGGAGACUUACAUUCUUGAGAUAGCUUUGUUGCAGAUUUCUCUGAAUGGAUUGCCUGAAAGCUGCUUCAAAAAAAAAAAAAAAAACCAAACCAAAAAAACCCCCAAAAAACUCGAAGUACCAAGCACCUCAGAUGUCCCACUCUCAGAAACAAUAUUCUUUUCCACAUAUCCCCCUUGAUCUGCAGACAAACACCACACAGAAUUCCUUCAUGUUGUCCUCCAUGUUUACAGAAAACUUCAGUUCUGAUGAGGCUUUAAAUUGCUUUAUUCCUCAGCACAUGCAUAUUUGUUGACUUGUCUUUUACAUGAAUCAGAAAUCCCUGGAGAAACAGACAUCUCCUGGUUGUCAUCAUUGCGAUUCCUUCUUAGGCUGCAUCAACCCCAAACCUGCAUCCUCCUCGUCUCUAAAUAACCUCUUGUUGUUGCACAUGCUGUUGCCAGUGGGAAGAGUUUGGGAAGUGUCUAAUUCAUGCAGCUCUCUCACUUCCCACAUAGAAAGAUGGUGUUGUUGCUUCCUACUGUCCUUUCUGGUAGAGUUUGCGAGUGUGGGAACAAGCAAAUAAAGCGGAUGGCCAAGGCCACAUGCAGAAGUGGCGGGGGGUGACCAUGACACAGUAGCUACGCUGUUAGGGUCAGACACAAUCAGGGUCAAAUUUCCAAGGAAAACUGCCUUUUCAUUCCGAAAAAAAGGCAGCUCUUGAAAUGAUCUUGGGAAAAAAAGAGCAUCUACAGCUUACAGGAUUUGGGACUGAGUAUAAUGAGUAUAAGCUUUGGGUAAAAUAACUUCUGACCAAGCUUGAAGCACAGCUGUAAGUCCUGGCUUUUUUCUUUCUUUCUUUUUUUUAACUCUUUACCUACUGACUAGCAAGCGGAUGACAUAUUUUAAAAGUUCAGCCAAUGUAGGAUAACUUCUGUCAUUUCAAGAACAGAAGGGGCACAGCCAGACAAGCAUCCAUUUAGCUAAAUCCUCAUUAGAUGCUUUCUGGCCCUGAGUCUCAAAGUGAUUCUAAGAUAACCCCGUCAGGAAUCAGUGGAUCAGGGAAUGAAAACCAAUUCUAUUUUUAAAAUGAUAAUUGAAAUAAGACACCUCAGGUGGUUUGAAGUGGUUUGACAAAGUUUGAUAUCAAACCCUUUCUCAUGCCCACAGCUCGGUAGUCCCAUCAACUAACAAAGAUAUGAACUUGACAACGCACUGUAAUCUUCAUACUGUCUUUGUAUCAAACAUCUGGACUGUUAAAGGGAGUCAUAAAUAAAAAUAAACUGAUUUCUAGGACUUACGGUGACUCCGCUUAAGCUUUUGAAUCUUUUCUCACGUGGUUCCUCUCAAAUGCUAUGUCAAAAAUUGGGACUCAGCACCUGCCACCAAGGACCUUUGCUUAUCAUAGCUGAAGGGAUGCUGAAGUAGAGUGAGGCAGGAGGGUGGAAGGAGGAGGGUACGUACCAUCUCUCUGUUAGGUUACUUGCUGGUGGACAACAACUGUAUAUGUUUUGAACUGGAAUGUUCCAACAGAGGUCCAACAGCGCUCCCCAGUCUAGUAGAGGGAUGGAGCUGCCUCCUUCUUCACGGAGUCAUCCACCCCAACAGAAUUUGCAGCAUGGCAAACUGUAUUUUGGUUUUGCUCUUUUUAAGACUGGAGUAAAAAUAGCUUCUUACUGCCCCAUCAAAUGCAACCAAACCCCAAAUGUCUCUGAUUCCAAAGGAUGCAAAUAGCCAGGAUUUACUGUGUUUGCUUUAUGCAGCCUGCAGAUACUCCUUGUCUCUGGUUUGCCCUCCAUUCUGAACUUUUAUCCUUGUGGACUCUGCUGCCAACUCUACCCAGUUAAAGAAAAUUUGGGUUGAAUUUACUACUUCUAAAACACCCACCUGGGCUCAGCUCAGAGCUCUACUCCCGACUUGUUGUGCAAGCUUGGCAAGUCUCAGCUUUUCUGUGACACUUCAUGAGCUGUCAGCUUCGAUUACAAGCUCUGCAAACAGGACUAGUCUCUCACUGCUUUUCAGCAGCACGUGGGGCCAUGACCCCUGGUAAAAAACUUGACCAGUUCCUGUAACACACAAAAUAAAUGUUCUAGACCAGUGUGAGAUUAUGUUGGUAGCCUAAGGGUGCAGAUCGUCUUCUCAUGUUGAAUAUCUCAAGCCAUUUUCCUUGGGUCAUUUAUCUCUUUUAGAGAUAGCAUUACACAAAUCAGCAAGAGAAAAGUAAUUUUGGAUUUCUUCUAGUAUAGAGGAGGAUUUGGAAGGUAAAUUAAAACUCUUUCCCAACAAGUUUGUCCUUUAUACCCUUAAAUGAAGCCUUGUACUUUAUAUUCCCCUAAUUUGCCUUCCUCUCUUUGUUACAAAGUCAAAUUAACAUUUCCUUUACCAUUCUGUGUUACAUUCAGUACUGCACACUCAAGAUAUAUGGGAUCCCUGCGUAUUACGUCUGUGUCUAUGCAUACAAAUACAUAUUAUUCUGGUAGAUUUAUAUUUUUCAUCUUUAUUGUUUUGCAACCAUUAAAACAAGAUAUACAUUCCUCAUUCCUUAAUUUGCAUUAUCAAUUGCAGUUGUACCUUUUUUAGUAAAAUUUGCUUUCAGAUCGUAAAACAUUGUCUAAUCAGCAAUCCACUUGUACUUUGUAAGUCACCUCAAUCUAUAACUGGAAAAGUGGUUUUUAAAGCAGGCUUUAGCCUCAGUACUGAAGUUUGCCUAAUUAGCUGAGCUCUCACAUUUGUUCUUAACAGAAUGGUGGGGCUUUGAGUCGGCAGCCAUGCUAGUCAAAGGAAAUAUUCCAAAAUUUAAGACGUCCCGUCUACCUGGACAUAGGAGGAGAGAGGUCCAUUAUCACGAGCACACAGACACGUUCUGUACGGGAUGUUCUGCAAGACAAAGAGAGUCAGGGUCAGGCAAACCUCACCAUGCUGGUUCCAGAGGCUGCUUUUUACAGAUGACAGUGAGACCACUAGAGACAAACUCUUUCCACUUUACACGAGUGCAUAUGAGGUCUGAUCUUACACACAGGUAAGCUGUUUGCUGUGGCUCCAGGAGGCUGAGUAAGGACUUUUUCAGGGAUCUGUAAAUUCCCUUCUGUAGAGAGCUGCUAGGGAUUAAUAGGUUUAUUCGAAAUCUUCCCUGCCUUCUCUUCCAACAGCUAAUAAUCCUCCUUCACUAUGGAUGGGAGCUUGACAUCAGGGGGCUAUAAAAGAUGAAUUUUAAUUUCUAAAAAUAGUCCACCUCUGAUCUGGUGUGACACUGGCACAUGCCACACACUUUUGGUACAGAAGUUACCAUUCCGAUCGCUAUCCUGAAGUCCCCACGUAUAUAGAUUUGCUCUUGUUCCUGUAUUUUUU
Molecule: long non-coding RNA, 9202 nt
Organism: Columba livia (rock pigeon)
Lineage: Eukaryota; Metazoa; Chordata; Aves; Columbiformes; Columbidae
Exons: 4
Source: RefSeq, a predicted model, not a curated record